Molecule: ribosomal RNA, 546 nt
Filed under: uncultured bacterium
Lineage: Bacteria
Description: bacterial SSU rRNA
Rfam family: Bacterial small subunit ribosomal RNA
Source: RNAcentral
UUGUUGGUGAGGUAAAGGCCCACCAAGGCUAAGACAGGUAGCUGGCGUGAGAGCGUGGUCAGCCACAAAGGAACUGAGAGACGGUCCUUACUCCUACGGGAGGCUGCAAUUAGGAAUCUUGCGCAAUGGGGGCAACCCUGACGCAGCGACGCCGCGUGAAGGAUGAAGGUCCUAGGAUCGUAAACUUCUUUUAUAGGGGAAGAAUAAUUGACGGUACUCUAUGAAUAAGUGCCUGCUAACUACGUGCCAGAAGCAUCGGUGACGCGUAGGGCACAAACAUUACCCGGAGUUAUUGGGUGUAAGGAGAUGCGUAGGCGUUUUGGUAAGUCUUGUGUUAAAGACCUCCGCUCAACGGAGGGAGUGCACUCGAAACUACCAGAAUUGAGACAGGAAGGGGUGAGUAGAAUUCCCGGUGUAGCGGUUAAAUGCGUUGAUAUCGGGAGGAAUACCAGGGGCGAAGGCGACUCACUGUUCCUGUUCUUGCCCUCAGGCUCAAAGCUUGGGAGCAAAACGGAUUAGAUACUCGUGUAGUCCACGCUGUAAACA